Molecule: ribosomal RNA, 253 nt
Filed under: uncultured bacterium
Lineage: Bacteria
Description: partial 16S ribosomal RNA
Rfam family: Bacterial small subunit ribosomal RNA
Source: RNAcentral
UACGAAGGGGGCUAGCGUUGCUCGGAAUCACUGGGCGUAAAGGGUGCGUAGGCGGGGCUUUAAGUCAGGGGUGAAAUCCUGGAGCUCAACUCCAGAACUGCCUUUGAUACUGAGGAUCUUGAGUUCGGGAGAGGUGAGUGGAAUUCCCAGUGUAGAGGUGAAAUUCGUAGAUAUUGGGAAGAACACCGGUGGCGAAGGCGGCUCACUGGCUCAUUACUGACGCUCAGGCGCGACAGCGUGGGGAUCAAACAGG